AAAGCGCGCGUAGGUGGUUUGUUAAGUUGGAUGUGAAAGCCCCGGGCUCAACCUGGGAACUGCAUCCAAAACUGGCAAGCUAGAGUAUGGUAGAGGGUGGUGGAAUUUCCUGUGUAGCGGUGAAAUGCGUAGAUAUAGGAAGGAACACCAGUGGCGAAGGCGACCACCUGGACUGAUACUGACACUGAGGUGCGAAAGCGUGGGGAGCAAACAGGAUUAGAUACCCGGGU
Molecule: ribosomal RNA, 230 nt
Filed under: uncultured bacterium
Lineage: Bacteria
Description: partial 16S ribosomal RNA
Rfam family: Bacterial small subunit ribosomal RNA
Source: RNAcentral